RNAcentral lists this ribosomal RNA (1341 nucleotides) under uncultured bacterium. RNAcentral's name for it is "16S ribosomal RNA". It matches the Rfam family "Bacterial small subunit ribosomal RNA", at positions 28 to 1381 of the family's 1533-position model. The record is from RNAcentral.
GACGAACGCUGGCGGCGUGCUUAACACAUGCAAGUCGAACGGUAAGGCUCCAGCUUGCUGGGGUACACGAGUGGCGAACGGGUGAGUAACACGUGGGUGACCUGCCCUGCACUUCGGGAUAAGCCUGGGAAACUGGGUCUAAUACCGGAUAGGACCGCACCGUGAGGGUGUGGUGGAAAGUUUUUUCGGUGUGGGAUGGGCCCGCUGCCUAUCAGCUUGUUGGUGGGGUAAUGGCCUACCAAGGCGGCGACGGGUAGCCGGCCUGAGAGGGUGGACGGCCACAUUGGGACUGAGACACGGCCCAGACUCCUACGGGAGGCAGCAGUGGGGAAUAUUGCACAAUGGGCGGAAGCCUGAUGCAGCGACGCCGCGUGGGGGAUGACGGCCUUCGGGUUGUAAACUCCUUUCACCAUCGACGAAGGGUUUCUGACGGUAGAUGGAGAAGAAGCACCGGCUAACUACGUGCCAGCAGCCGCGGUAAUACGUAGGGUGCGAGCGUUGUCCGGAAUUACUGGGCGUAAAGAGCUCGUAGGUGGUUUGUCGCGUCGUCUGUGAAAUUCCGGGGCUUAACUCCGGGCGUGCAGGCGAUACGGGCAUAACUUGAGUACUGUAGGGGAGACUGGAGUUCCUGGUGUAGCGGUGAAAUGCGCAGAUAUCAGGAGGAACACCGGUGGCGAAGGCGGGUCUCUGGGCAGUAACUGACGCUGAGGAGCGAAAGCAUGGGGAGCGAACAGGAUUAGAUACCCUGGUAGUCCAUGCCGUAAACGGUGGGCGCUAGGUGUGGGUUUCCUUCCACGGGAUCCGUGCCGUAGCUAACGCAUUAAGCGCCCCGCCUGGGGAGUACGGCCGCAAGGCUAAAACUCAAAGGAAUUGACGGGGGCCCGCACAAGCGGCGGAGCAUGUGGAUUAAUUCGAUGCAACGCGAAGAACCUUACCUGGGCUUGACAUAUACAGGAUCGCGCCAGAGAUGGUGUUUCCCUUGUGGCUUGUAUACAGGUGGUGCAUGGUUGUCGUCGGCUCGUGUCGUGAGAUGUUGGGUUAAGUCCCGCAACGAGCGCAACCCUUGUCUUAUGUUGCCAGCACGUUGUGGUGGGGACUCGUAAGAAACUGCCGGGGUUAACUCGGAGGAAGGUGGGGAUGACGUCAAAUCAUCAUGCCCCUUAUGUCCAGGGCUUCACACAUGCUACAAUGGUCGGUACAGUGGGUUGCCAGUCCGUGAGGGCGAGCUAAUCCCGCAAAGCCGGUCUCAGUUCGGAUCGGGGUCUGCAACUCGACCCCGUGAAGUCGGAGUCGCUAGUAAUCGCAGAUCAGCAACGCUGCGGUGAAUACGUUCCCGGGCCU